AUACGUAGGUGGCAAGCGUUGUCCGGAUUUAUUGGGUUUAAAGGGUGCGUAGGUGGCCCUGUAAGUCAGUGGUGAAAUAUCUCAGCUUAACUGAGAGGGUGCCAUUGAUACUGCAGGGCUUGAGUACAGAUGAGGUAGGCGGAAUUGACGGUGUAGCGGUGAAAUGCAUAGAUAUCGUCAAGAACACCGAUAGCGAAGGCAGCUUACCAAGCUGUAACUGACACUGAGGCACGAAAGUGUGGGGAUCAAACAGGA
RNAcentral lists this ribosomal RNA (255 nucleotides) under uncultured prokaryote. Its description in RNAcentral is "partial 16S ribosomal RNA". It matches the Rfam family "Bacterial small subunit ribosomal RNA", at positions 523 to 777 of the family's 1533-position model. The record is from RNAcentral.